CGCCGCCUCUCGCCCUCCUCAUCCCGCCGGAGCACGCCUGCCUCCCUUCCUUUUCUACACCCAUAGACCUCCUCCUCCCCGUCCUCUCUGCUGCUGGAUUGGCGCGGGCUGGGAUUCCGUCGGAGACGCGCUUCCUUCUGUCGCAAUUCGCCGCACAGAGGGAGUCUGGGAUUUUCCUUGUAAAUUGAGCUUUGGCACUCUUGGAUUGGAUGGAGUUCUCAUCAAGUGAAGAAGAUGGGCUCGUUGAAGAUUUCAUAGAUGUUGAGGAUGAUACCGGCACCGCUGAUGCUGAUCAAGCUGUGGUGACUUCCCAGACUAAUUGCAUCGACCAUUCUGAUGGAUCCAUGUUGACCCCUGGAGAUGAGCUGCUUGUGGCAGCUGAUGAGCUGGUAAAAAACGGCGAGCCAUGCUUGGGCAUGGAAUUUGAGUCCGACGCAGCUGCGCGUGCAUUCUACAGUGCGUAUGCCCUACGCCUCGGGUUCGGCAUCCGUGUUGCCCGAUCCCGCACCGAGCGGCGAAAAGGUAUCGAGGUGCUCGUCACGAAGCGCUUUGUGUGCAUGAAAGAGGGACAUCACAAGAAGAAUGAUGUUGAAUCUAGCGACAAGAAGAGGAGGAAGCGCCUCUCUAUACGGGACGGCUGCCCAGCGAUGAUGGAGGUGGUGUGGAGAAGGCAAGAAAAGUGGGUCAUCACAAAGUUGGUGCUGGAGCACACUCAUGUUAUUGUUAGCCCAGACAAGGUGCGGGAGGUCCAGCUCCGUCGCCUCUGUGGGAAGGAGCAUGCCGAUCAGUUGCAGGAGGUGCGGAGGGAUGUGUUCGGUGACACUGAUGCACGUGGUCUCUUCACGUACUUCAUGAGAAAGCAGUCGGAGAACUCUGGUUUUUUCUAUAACAUACAAGUUGACAGUAGAAACUGCUUGAGGAGUGCAGUCUGGGUUGAUGCAAGAGCUAGAAUGGCAUACAAAUACUUUGGAGAUGCUGUUUACUUCGACACCACUCAUAGUAAAAAUGAGAAUAUGUUGCCUUUUGCAGCUUUCACAGGCGUGAAUCACCAUGGUGACAGUGUUGUUUUUGGUUGUGCGCUGGUCUUGGAUAAGACGGAAUCUUCUUAUGCUUGGAUUUUUGAUACAUGGCUGACAGCAAUGGAUAAGAGAUUGCCGUUUUCGUUUACAACAGAUGAAGGCAGAGCAAUGACAGAGGCAGUUGCCAAGGUAUUUCCUCAAUGUUUCCAUCGGCUUUGUAGAUGGCGAGUUCUUUCUAGAUGCAAGACGAAAUUGUCGGAUGUCUACAUGAGAUUUCCUGGGCUACAUAUCGAGUUAAAGAGAUGUGUCAACGAGUGUGAUACCAUGCCUGCUUUUGACAUGUUCUGGGGUUCUAUUCUCGACAGGUAUGGCCUGAGGGAGAACACUUGGUUGGGGUCACUAUUUGAAGCAAGACAUAAAUGGGUUCCUGCAUACCUAACAAGCUCCUUCUUUGCAGAGUUGUCACUGACCCGUAGAGCAGAAACGGUCAGUAGGUUUUAUAGAAAUAACUUCACUACAAGAGGGUCCCUCCUUUCUUUUAUCACUAGACUUGAUCAACACAUAGACAGAUUGUAUAUGAAUGAAGCUCAGAAAGAUCUUGCUUCAUUUCCUCCUGAACAACUCCUGAAAACCAAUUCGAUCUUGGAAAAACAAGCAGAGAGCAUCUACACAAGGGCUGCAUUUGAAAUAUUCCAAGCGGAGUUGAUUGAAUCGCUGCAUCACUAUGCUGUUAAGGUUCAGGACGGCCCUUAUGAAGACAAGUACUAUGUCGAAAGACAUAGCGAUCCUCCUACCAGGCACACUGUUGUCUACAAUAUUGCCGAGAAGAAGGCUUGGUGUGACUGCUGCAGGUUUGCUUUCUCGGCGAUAUUGUGCAGACAUGUGCUCGGAGUAUUCAUCCUGGCAGACGUCGACAUGAUUCCGGAGCCAUGCAUCACGAAACGAUGGACGAAAAAGGCAAAGACAGGGCCAGUGUGUGUUGGGCGCAAUCUUGAAGGUGAAAACCAGCACACAAAUUCCUUGACUUGGAGAUUCAAUGAUCUAUUUCGCGAUGCGAUGAAGUGUGCAGAGAAGGGAACUCUAUCAGCAGGCUCCUUCAAAGUUGCAAAAGAAGUACUGCGGAAAGCCUUCAGGGAAAUAGAGAAACUGACCAAUGCUGGUCCCCAGCAAGUUGGCAACAGAUAGCAGCAGUGGGUAGUGGUGUUCAUUGCUGGUUCCAUCUGAACCUGUGAAAUCUGUAGUUCAAAAUUCUGUACUAACGUGAGCAGCAUGGUGGGAGCUAUCGAAGGAAAAUGAACUAACGCCCUAGUCACCGGUUUUUACAGUUUGGCUUCAAACAGUUAUGUACACCCCCGACAGUGGCCUUGAGCAUUGUUACCGAAGGAUGAAAACGAGGCCUAUUUCUGCUGUGGUACCAUGAGCAAGAACUUGCGGCUUGCCACCGUAUCAUGGCAGUGACCAAUGGGCACUUAACCUUGUUACUGUUAAUACAGUCCUGUUGAUCCAGUGUCGACCUAGUGGCUAGUGAUGAGUGCCAUCAGGUGCUGCUGCUCAUGCUGUCACAACACACACAUGCCUGGUUUGCUUUCUCGGCAAUAUUGUGCAGACAUUUGCUGGGAGUAUUCAUCUUGGCCGACGCCGACAUGAUUCUGGAACCAUUCAUCAUGAAGCGAUGGACGAAAAGGCAAAGACAAGGCCAGUGUUUGUUGGGAGCAAUCUGGAAGAUGAGAAGCACCACUCAAAUUCUGUGACUUUGAGGUUCAAUGAUCUAGUUUGCGACGCGAUGAUGUGUGCAGAUAGGGGAACUCUAUCAGCAGGUUCCUUUAAAGUCGUAAAGGAAGUACUGCUCAGAGCCUUCAGGGAGAUAGAUAAACAGACCAAUGCUGGUCGCCAGCAAGUUGGCAACAUAUAGCAGCAGCGGCUAGGCGUGUUCAUUACUGGUUCCAUCUGAACCUGUGAAACCUGUAGUUCUAAUUCUUUUACUAACUUGGGCAGCAUGGUGGGAAGUAUUGAAUGAAAAUGAACUACCGCCCUAAUCGUCGGUUUUUA
Lolium rigidum is the source of this 3068-nucleotide RNA transcript. It is a transcript of the gene named protein FAR1-RELATED SEQUENCE 5-like, with no coding region annotated. The transcript is spliced from 3 exons. Lineage: Eukaryota; Viridiplantae; Streptophyta; Magnoliopsida; Poales; Poaceae. The record is from RefSeq and is a predicted model, not a curated record.